Molecule: small nucleolar RNA, 146 nt
Organism: Sinocyclocheilus anshuiensis
Lineage: Eukaryota; Metazoa; Chordata; Actinopteri; Cypriniformes; Cyprinidae
Source: Ensembl
CUUCAGUGAUGAUACGAUGACGAGUCGGAUCGAGGCCCGUCUCUGAGGAUUCUGGCUCAGGCUCACGUUCUGUGCGUCUGACUUCAGUUCCUCAGAGAUCACGUGUCCUCUUAGAUUGAAGAUGUAGAGGCAUUUGUCUGAGAAGG